AUCACACCUGACAUGGAUAUAUACAACGGGGGGAGCAGUAUCACCCAACGGACAGCUUCACCAUGGCCAGACUCGGAGUGUUCCUGCUGACUGCUAUGGCGUUCUGUACAUGCUUGCCAGUACAAGGCCUGAAAUGUCCCCCCGAGCUUUGUGAGACAUGGCCCUUCCUGUUACUGGUUCUCAACAACCACCGGAACAUACGACUCUGCCCGAUCCAAGUGCAAACAGUUGGGAGGAGACCUUGCCAAGAUUACAACUAAAGAGGAACACGAUUUCAUCAGGAGCACUGCGACAAGUACUUACUACUUCGUGGGGGCCACUGACCUCCGUCUAGGGGGAAAAUGGGCUUGGGAGGGUGAGGCAACAGAGAUCGCCUACAGUGACUGGGCGCCAGGACAGCCAAGCACUGCCUCGGAACACUGCAUGGACUUGAUAAAACGCUACAACUACAAGAUGAACGAUGCACCAUGUGGUGCCAAACUUAAUUUCAUUUGUUAACAGCGUGUCAAGUGUUAAUACCUGGAACAUCUAAUAAUGGAAUCCAAGAAGGGAUACAUUGUCGCUACUGCGCAUUUUAGAUGGGGCAACGGUGCAAUCAAUAUCUAACCGUUGUAAUAUACUCAUGGAAACGAAUAAGGGAACACAUGAAAGUACAAGUAUUCCCUUAUUCUUUUCAAGAACUUCACCCACAUUGCAAUGCAAAGCUUGUGGAGAAAGGAAUAGAGGAACACUUGUAGUUUCAUGUGUUCCUUUAUUUGUUUCCAUGAGUAUAUUACAACGGUUAGAUAUUGCAUCGUCGCCUUUGGGUAAAACAUCAAAAAUGUUAUAUAGAGCACCAGCAGGCGACACCAUGUCGUGUAUUUGUUCUUUUCUAUAACAUUUCCUUGUUUUUGUGUCCCCUCUAGGAUUCCGUAGGUUUGCAUGUCCUGAACAAUAAAAUGAAGUCCUAA
Long non-coding RNA from Haliotis rubra (blacklip abalone), 950 nucleotides. RefSeq lists it as uncharacterized. The record is from RefSeq and is a predicted model, not a curated record. The transcript is spliced from 4 exons. Lineage: Eukaryota; Metazoa; Mollusca; Gastropoda; Lepetellida; Haliotidae.